GUGCUUGCUUUAGGACCACGUAUGCAACACUGGAGUGAUACAGAGAAGAUUAGCAUGGCCCCCGGGCAAGAUGAUAUGCACAUUUGUGAAGCAUUCCAUAUUUUA
Small nuclear RNA from Bison bison bison, 105 nucleotides. Lineage: Eukaryota; Metazoa; Chordata; Mammalia; Artiodactyla; Bovidae. The record is from Ensembl.